AUUGAACGCUGGCGGCAGGCCUAACACAUGCAGGUCGAGCGGAUGAAGGGAGCUUGCUCCUGGAUUCAGCGGCGGACGGGUGAGUAAUGCCUAGGAAUCUGCCUGGUAGUGGGGGAUAACGUCCGGAAACGGGCGCUAAUACCGCAUACGUCCUGAGGGAGAAAGUGGGGGAUCUUCGGACCUCACGCUAUCAGAUGAGCCUAGGUCGGAUUAGCUAGUUGGUGGGGUAAAGGCCUACCAAGGCGACGAUCCGUAACUGGUCUGAGAGGAUGAUCAGUCACACUGGAACUGAGACACGGUCCAGACUACUACGGGAGGCAGCAGUGGGGAAUAUUGGACAAUGGGCGAAAGCCUGAUCCAGCCAUGCCGCGUGUGUGAAGAAGGUCUUCGGAUUGUAAAGCACUUUAAGUUGGGAGGAAGGGCAGUAAGUUAAUACCUUGCUGUUUUGACGUUACCAACAGAAUAAGCACCGGCUAACUUCGUG
This 484-nucleotide ribosomal RNA is filed under the name uncultured bacterium. Its description in RNAcentral is "partial 16S ribosomal RNA". It matches the Rfam family "Bacterial small subunit ribosomal RNA", at positions 30 to 507 of the family's 1533-position model. The record is from RNAcentral.